AAAAGGGAGCCGCGCAGCGCCUACGGGAGUCCGGCUGCAGCAGCCGGUACCGGCAACCACGGGCAGCUCUCAGGGAAUCUCCGUCGUGAGGCCAGAGGCUCCAGUCCCCGCGAGUCCAGAUGCCUGUCCAGCCUCCAAGCAAAGACACAGAAGAGAUGGAAGCAGAGGGUGAUUCUGCUGCUGAGAUGAAUGGGGAGGAGGAAGAGAGUGAGGAGGAGCGGAGCGGCAGCCAGACAGAGUCAGAAGAGGAGAGCUCCGAGAUGGAUGAUGAGGACUAUGAGCGACGCCGCAGCGAGUGUGUCAGUGAGAUGCUGGACCUAGAGAAGCAGUUCUCGGAGCUAAAGGAGAAGUUGUUCAGGGAACGACUGAGUCAGCUGCGGUUGCGGCUGGAGGAAGUGGGGGCUGAGAGAGCCCCUGAAUACACGGAGCCCCUUGGGGGGCUGCAGCGGAGCCUCAAGAUUCGCAUUCAGGUGGCAGGGAUCUACAAGGGCUUCUGUCUGGAUGUGAUCAGGAAUAAGUACGAAUGUGAGCUGCAGGGAGCCAAACAGCACCUGGAGGUGGGCCUGAUUGGCCACACUGGGGGCGAGGCAGGGCACAAAGCCUGAAGUGGCCUCACCCCAUCCGUCCUGCUGAACUGUUGCCCCCUCUUCCAGAGUGAGAAGCUGCUGCUCUAUGACACGCUGCAGGGGGAGCUGCAGGAGCGGAUCCAGAGGCUGGAGGAGGACCGCCAGAGCCUGGACCUCAGCUCUG
This 750-nucleotide small RNA is filed under the name Pan troglodytes (chimpanzee). RNAcentral's name for it is "retained intron". Lineage: Eukaryota; Metazoa; Chordata; Mammalia; Primates; Hominidae. The record is from RNAcentral.